RNAcentral lists this ribosomal RNA (156 nucleotides) under Triticum aestivum (bread wheat). RNAcentral describes it as "rRNA 5_8S_rRNA". It matches the Rfam family "5.8S ribosomal RNA". Rfam says of the family: 5.8S ribosomal RNA (5.8S rRNA) is a component of the large subunit of the eukaryotic ribosome. It is transcribed by RNA polymerase I as part of the 45S precursor that also contains 18S and 28S rRNA. The record is from RNAcentral. Lineage: Eukaryota; Viridiplantae; Streptophyta; Magnoliopsida; Poales; Poaceae.
GACUCUCGGCAACGGAUAUCUCGGCUCUCGCAUCGAUGAAGAACGUAGCGAAAUGCGAUACCUGGUGUGAAUUGUAGAAUCUCGCGAACCAUCGAGUCUUUGAACGCAAGUUGCGCCCGAGGCCACUCGGCCGAGGGCACGCCUGCCUGGGCGUCA